CGUUAUAUUCGAAACUACGUAUUUCACUUUCGAAUAUUUAAUGUUUCUCUUUUUUAAAAUUUUAAUAUUCCGAAGUUAUGUUCUUCGCCUGAAGAUGACAUUGAUAAAAAUAUCGGAAGUGCUUGUGUUGAUAAUAAAAACGUUUUUCCGAAAAGCAGAAAAUCUACACAAAUCACAAACAUAUUGAUUAUAGUAUGCGUCGUUUCUGUGCUAAUCGCUGGAAUCUUCAUAAUACUUUUAAUAUAUUCAAUUAAAAAGAGAUUACUUGAUAUACGAAUGAGAACUGAAAAUCGGCCAACUUCUCAACUCGAAGAUUUUGAAUCUUAUGAUACUACCUGUUAUACAAUAGAAACAGUUCAUGAGGAAAUAGACAGACCACCAUCUUACGAGGAAAUAAUAAGGACUUCUGCAAGCACAUGCGAUUUAAUAACUCAUGAAAUGAUAUCUGACGUAUCCUGUCCCAGUUAUGCAGCAGUAAUGAUGCAGCAGCAGCAGCAGCAGCAACAGCAACAACAACAAAGAAUACGUUCUUUUUCACUGUAAUAUUAUUAAGUAACGUUUAUUCUGUAAAUAGUUUUUCAGAAUAAAAUUUAUUAAACUUUA
This 603-nucleotide unclassified non-coding RNA is filed under the name Centruroides sculpturatus (bark scorpion). Its description in RNAcentral is "uncharacterized LOC111615675, transcript variant X1". The record is from RNAcentral. Lineage: Eukaryota; Metazoa; Arthropoda; Arachnida; Scorpiones; Buthidae.